GCUCAAAUUUGAAAUCUGGCUCUUUCAGAGUCCGAGUUGUAAUUUGAAGAAGGUAUCUUUGGGUCUGGCUCUUGUCUAUGUUUCUUGGAACAGAACGUCACAGAGGGUGAGAAUCCCGUGCGAUGAGAUGAUCCAGGCCUAUGUAAAGUUCCUUCGAAGAGUCGAGUUGUUUGGGAAUGCAGCUCUAAGUGGGUGGUAAAUUCCAUCUAAAGCUAAAUAUUGGCGAGAGACCGAUAGCGAACAAGUACAGUGAUGGAAAGAUGAAAAGAACUUUGAAAAGAGAGUGAAAAAGUACGUGAAAUUGUUGAAAGGGAAGGGCUUGAGAUCAGACUUGGUAUUUUGUAUGUUACUUCUUCGGGGGUGGCCUCUACAGUUUAUCGGGCCAGCAUCAGUUUGGGCGGUAGGAGAAUUGCGUUGGAAUGUGGCACGGCUUCGGUUGUGUGUUAUAGCCUUCGUCGAUACUGCCAGCCUAGACUGAGGACUGCGGUUUAUACCUAGGAUGUUGGCAUAAUGAUCUUAAGUCGCCCGUCUUGA
Molecule: ribosomal RNA, 534 nt
Filed under: Candida tropicalis
Lineage: Eukaryota; Fungi; Ascomycota; Pichiomycetes; Serinales; Debaryomycetaceae
Description: partial large subunit ribosomal RNA
Rfam family: Eukaryotic large subunit ribosomal RNA
Source: RNAcentral